This 498-nucleotide ribosomal RNA is filed under the name uncultured bacterium. Its description in RNAcentral is "partial 16S ribosomal RNA". It matches the Rfam family "Bacterial small subunit ribosomal RNA", at positions 28 to 507 of the family's 1533-position model. The record is from RNAcentral.
GACGAACGCUGGCGGCGUGCCUAAUACAUGCAAGUCGAACGAGAGCACCCGGUGCUUGCACUGGUCAAUCUAGUGGCGAACGGGUGAGUAACACGUGGGUAACCUGCCCAUCAGAGGGGGAUAACAUCCGGAAACGGAUGCUAAAACCGCAUAGGUCUUCGAACCGCAUGGUUUGAAGAGGAAAAGAGGCGCAAGCUUCUGCUGAUGGAUGGACCCGCGGUGCAUUAGCUAGUUGGUGAGGUAACGGCUCACCAAGGCCGUGAUGCAUAGCCGACCUGAGAGGGUGAUCGGCCACAUUGGGACUGAGACACGGCCCAAACUCCUACGGGAGGCAGCAGUAGGGAAUCUUCCGCAAUGGACGCAAGUCUGACGGAGCAACGCCGCGUGAGUGAAGAAGGUUUUCGGAUCGUAAAACUCUGUUGUUAGAGAAGAACAAGUGCUAGAGUAACUGUUAGCGCCUUGACGGUAUCUAGCCAGAAAGCCACGGCUAACUACGUG